RNAcentral lists this ribosomal RNA (429 nucleotides) under Gemmatimonadota bacterium. Its description in RNAcentral is "Gemmatimonadetes bacterium partial 16S ribosomal RNA". It matches the Rfam family "Bacterial small subunit ribosomal RNA", at positions 355 to 776 of the family's 1533-position model. The record is from RNAcentral. Lineage: Bacteria; Pseudomonadati; Gemmatimonadota.
UAGGGAAUCUUCGGCAAUGGACGAAAGUCUGACCGAGCAACGCCGCGUGAGUGAAGAAGGUUUUCGGAUCGUAAAACUCUGUUGUUAGAGAAGAACAAGGACGUUAGUAACUGAACGUCCCCUGACGGUAUCUAACCAGAAAGCCACGGCUAACUACGUGCCAGCAGCCGCGGUAAUACGUAGGUGGCAAGCGUUGUCCGGAUUUAUUGGGCGUAAAGCGAGCGCAGGCGGUUUCUUAAGUCUGAUGUGAAAGCCCCCGGCUCAACCGGGGAGGGUCAUUGGAAACUGGGAGACUUGAGUGCAGAAGAGGACAGUGGAAUUCCAUGUGUAGCGGUGAAAUGCGUAGAUAUAUGGAGGAACACCAGUGGCGAAGGCGGCUCUCUGGUCUGUAACUGACGCUGAGGCUCGAAAGCGUGGGGAGCAAACAGG